UAGGGAAUCUUCGGCAAUGGGGGGAACCCUGACCGAGCAACGCCGCGUGAGUGAAGAAGGUUUUCGGUUCGUAAAGCUCUGUUGUUAAGGAAGAACGAGUGUGAGAAUGGAAAGUUCAUGCUGUGACGGUACUUAACCAGAAAGGGACGGCUAACUACGUGCCAGCAGCCGCGGUAAUACGUAGGUCCCGAGCGUUGUCCGGAUUUAUUGGGCGUAAAGCGAGCGCAGGCGGUUAGAAAAGUCUGAAGUGAAAGGCAGUGGCUCAACCAUUGUAGGCUUUGGAAACUGUUUAACUUGAGUGCAGAAGGGGAGAGUGGAAUUCCAUGUGUAGCGGUGAAAUGCGUAGAUAUAUGGGGGAACACCGGUGGCGAAAGCGGCUCUCUGGUCUGUAACUGACGCUGAGGCUCGAAAGCGUGGGGAGCGAACAGG
Molecule: ribosomal RNA, 429 nt
Filed under: Verrucomicrobiota bacterium
Lineage: Bacteria; Pseudomonadati; Verrucomicrobiota
Description: Verrucomicrobia bacterium partial 16S ribosomal RNA
Rfam family: Bacterial small subunit ribosomal RNA
Source: RNAcentral